This is a long non-coding RNA of Arachis ipaensis, 3476 nucleotides long. RefSeq lists it as uncharacterized. The record is from RefSeq and is a predicted model, not a curated record. Lineage: Eukaryota; Viridiplantae; Streptophyta; Magnoliopsida; Fabales; Fabaceae.
UCAAUUCCUGUUUUAGUUAGUUUUAGUUCCUUAGUUUGAUUCUAGAUCAGUUUAGUUAGAUUUAAUUUUCUGUUUUAGUGGAUUUUAGGUUGUUAAGAUAGGGUAGAAUAGGUUAUUAGGUUCUGGGACUAAUGAAAUUGUGUGGAAAAUGCUUGACCGUAUUGAUGAGUCGCUGUUUUAGGGUUUGUUUCUGCUGAAAUGUUGCUGAUUUGGUGUUGUUUAUGUUGAACUUAAUGAAUAGAUGUUAAAAGACUGUUUGUUUUGUUGAAUAAUUGCUGAAAUUUGGUUGAAUAGCAUUUAUUUGAAUUUGAAUUGUCAGCUACUACUUGGUUGCAUUGAUUUGUUGCUGAACCACUGCAAGAUGCUGUUGGUUUUGUGUAAUUGAUGCUGAAUUUUGUGAAAUUGUUUUUUUUUAUGAAUCAUGCUGGGAUUGAUAUUGACAUUUGAUGCUGCUAUGCAUGUUACUCUUGCUGAUUGAGUGAAUGCUAUAUCUGUUGGCUACUGAUUGUUUCUGCUCUCGCUACUUGAUUUGCUACUGAUUCUGUUUUUAGUGGUGAUUUUGUGCUAAAUUUGUGUAAACUUUGAGUAUAUGCACACUGCUUGUUUGAUAAUAUGUCUCAGUUUUUAAUGGAAAUUUGGUUCAAUCUCUAAAAAUCAAUGCUUGCUAUGCAUUGAUGUAAAUGUGAAUAUUUCUAAUUGACUAAAAUUUUUGAAUCUUGAAUGUUUGAGGUCUUUUGGUGUUUGAACUUAUUCCUCUCACCUUGCUUAACCAUUAUUCUUGUUUAUUCACCAAUUGCUUGAAUAUGCCUCUAUGUCUAACUUGUGCUUUAAAUUGCAUGUUGUAGCUACCAUGUGAUUUAGAAUAUUUGAUUUUGUUUGGCAUCAUUUACCAAGUUUAGUUUGAUAUGAUGGAUUGCUUGAGAUGCUAGUUCUUAUUGAUUGAGUUUUGACUAUAUGCGUUUGAUACAAUUGCCAUGAUUGGAUUAUUUGAAAAUUGAAUUUCAAUGACAACAUCACAUACUCUAAACCUCUUCUUUUGCAUAAUCCAUCACACUAUAUCAAUUGCUUGAUUAUUUGCCUAAGUGUCCUUAUGCUUCUUGUUGCUUGUGUGUUUGUUUCAACUUGCAAGUGUUCUUUAAAGCAUCUUAGGCACAUUAAAAUGAGUGAGUAUAUGCAUACUUUAUGUAGUUGUGACAGCUUUCAAGUGCUAGUGCAUGAGUUCUAAACCGUGCGCAAACUUAGAAUUCACACACUAUUUUUCUUAAUGUCACAAACUCAUCAACUCACUUCAUUUUAGUGAUUAUGACCUUAUUCCAGAAAUCUAUGCUUCCUAGAUCAUUGAGUAUUUGAAUUGUGAUAUUCUAAGACAUUUGCAAUCCAGGGAUAAUUGAAGAGUGGCAUUGUCAUUUGAUUGUGCUUAUGUCUUCAAUUAAAAAAAAAGGCAAAAGCACAUAUGAGCCAGCCUGUUUAUGCCAUCAAAAAGGCAGGCUACGAAUGAAUAUUAGGACCAUGAACAAAAAACACCACUUAACUCGCGCCGUUUAGCCCCCGGGAAGUGACAAAGCAGGCUUGGAGGCACUCACCAAAUUAUUUAUUUAUUAGUUUAAAAAAAAUUAAAAAAUAAAUCAGUAAUCACCUACCAGCAGCAAUUCACACAUACUAUACUUUCACUCCUAAUCCCAUUCGGCUAUGAUCCCUUACUCCUUCCACCAUAUCCAUUACUCCCUGCUUUCUUCAUUCCUCGUUGUCAUGAUUGCAGAAUGGCAGAGCUUUGCCUCUAGCAUUCUUCACCGUCUUAGAUAUAUUAGAGCUUUCCAUCAGUCAUAUUCUUCAUUGUGUUAGCUGCAGGAGCUUCUGUGUGAGUCGCCUUCGUCGAUUGUCAAGUAAUUUCUUUAACAUUAAGAUAUGGGUACUUUUAGUUUUAUAUUCACAUAAUUAAACUAUGUCAUGAUUUUAUUUGGUUUAUUAAAUAUAGAUAUCAAAAUUUUAAGUUUUGGGUUAAUUUUUUUCUUAGAAUGGUUGAUGCAUUUGUACAAGAAUAAUCUAGGCAGGGAAACCAAUUACUUGGGAGUAAAAAGGUCACCAUAGAAUCUCCGCCGUGCGUCUGACACCCAGCCUGAGGAGUACAUCGUCGUGAUGCGCCUAAGGAGAAUCAUCAGAGAUAGAAUCGUCGCGUCAGAGGGAGAAUUGUCGCCGUCCAGCAAGGUUGUCAACGGCAGAAUCGUCGUCUCCAAGGCAAAAUCGUCUUUUGAAGCUCUCCACUGGCGGUGAAACUUGUUCCUCUUGCGCUGUCCAUCGCUCCUUUGUCUCCUCCUGUCGCUCGAAGCAAGCCCCGCCUGAAGCUCUCCAAGGCCACACUUAUUUUCAGGUUCAAGUCCCUGCCUGAAGCUCUUCCAUUGAUUGAGGGAUUGUUGACAGGGAAUGCAGCAAUUGUGUGAGUAGCAAACAGAGAAAGCCCCCUUCACAACAAGUUAGGAGCUUUAAGGUUAAACAAGAAGGGGGUUCUUGAGCUUCUUAGUAACGCAAAUAAAACCAUUUGGUCAUCCAACAUAGCAAGCAAAACCAAAGUCAUGAGUAGCUCAAUUGCACAACUCUUGGAUACAGGAAAUCUUGUAGUGAAAAAUGGACAAGAUACUAAUAGUGAGGUCAACCUUUUGUGGCAAAGUUUCGAUUAUCCUGGCAAGGACAUGCAUAAAUUUAAAACUGAUUGUGUUCAAUAAAGAAGAGGUCUAUUAUGAGUUUGAAAUUCUUGAUAGAUCAAUCUUCUCUGUAUUCAAAAUGGAUUCUGGGAAUACACAGAUUAUGGCUUGGGAAAUUCAAACAAGAAUUCUAGUGGAAGUUUCCAGAUCAAUGGACCAAAUGCAUGUAAAAGUUAUUCUCUAAAGAUACUUCAGACAUGCAGUUUGAGUUUCUCACUAGCUACAUCGCUGAGCUCAGUUUGUUGGAUUAUAAUUGUGUGAAAUUCUUGUCUUCUUUGGUGGCAGCAUGUGUUGUAUUUCUAUCAAGAUUUAUGCUUAAGCCCAAAGACACAAAGACACCUCCUUGGAAUGCAGCACUUCAUCAACUCACUAGAUAUAAACCUGCCGAAUUGAAGGAACGUGCUCAAAAUAUACAUGAUUUGUACCUCAGUAGGAGAGGUGGCUCUUUCCAAGCUCACAGAGAAAUACAAACAACAUAAGGUGCUUGAUCUUCCUUGUUUAUUCGAGAUUCUUUAAGUUUGGAUAACAUUUCAAAUUUAAGACUCAAUAACUUGGAACUGGAAAAAGGAUCGUGGCAAGAUCAUGCAUCCAUUUGUUGGACUAGGUGCCAAGGGAAGUUUUAAAUUUCCCUCAACCUCAUUGAAGAUUGUAAUGACACUAGUUUGUAAUUUUGUAUCCCCAAUAUGAUUACAGAUUCUUCUAGAUAAUGUAAAAUUGUUUGACCAGCUGCUUGACUUUGUUUUCUACAUGCUUAUUGUUCUUGGUGGUUGCAAACAA